RNAcentral lists this ribosomal RNA (498 nucleotides) under uncultured bacterium. RNAcentral's name for it is "partial 16S ribosomal RNA". It matches the Rfam family "Bacterial small subunit ribosomal RNA", at positions 28 to 508 of the family's 1533-position model. The record is from RNAcentral.
GAUGAACGCUGGCGGGGUGCCGAAGACAGGGAAGUCGAGCGAACAGACGAGGAGCUUGCUCCUCUGACGUUAGCGGCGGACGGGUGAGUAACACGUGGAUAACCUACCUAUAAUACUGGGAUAACUUCGGGAAACCGGAGCGAAUACCGGAUAAUAUAUUGAACCGCAUGGUUCAAUAGUGAAAGACGGUUUUGCUGUCACUUAUAGAUGGAUCCGCGCCGCAUUAGCUAGUUGGUAAGGUAACGGCUUACCAAGGCAACGAUGCGUAGCCGACCUGAGAGGGUGCUCGGCCACACUGGAACUGGGACACGCUCCAGACUCCUACGGGAGGCAGCAGUAGGGAAUCCUCCGCACUGGGCGAAAGCCUGGCGGAGCAACGCCGCGUGAGUGAUGAAGGUCUUCGGAUCGUAAAACUCUGUUACUCGGGAAGAACAAAUGUGUAAGUAACUAUGAGCGUCUUGAAGGUCCCUAAUCAGAACGCCUCGGCUACCUCCGUGC